UGGGGAAUAUUGCACAAUGGGCGCAAGCCUGAUGCAGCCAUGCCGCGUGUAUGAAGAAGGCCUUCGGGUUGUAAAGUACUUUCAGCGGGGAGGAAGGCGAUAAGGUUAAUAACCUUGUCGAUUGACGUUACCCGCAGAAGAAGCACCGGCUAACUCCGUGCCAGCAGCCGCGGUAAUACGGAGGGUGCAAGCGUUAAUCGGAAUUACUGGGCGUAAAGCGCAUGCAGGCGGUGUGUCAAGUCGGAUGUGAAAUCCCCGGGCUCAACCUGGGAACUGCAUUCGAAACUGGCAGGCUAGAGUCUUGUAGAGGGGGGUAGAAUUCCAGGUGUAGCGGUGAAAUGCGUAGAGAUCUGGAGGAAUACCGGUGGCGAAGGCGGCCCCCUGGACAAAGACUGACGCUCAGGUGCGAAAGCGUGGGGAGCAAACA
RNAcentral lists this ribosomal RNA (427 nucleotides) under uncultured bacterium. RNAcentral's name for it is "partial 16S ribosomal RNA". It matches the Rfam family "Bacterial small subunit ribosomal RNA", at positions 355 to 774 of the family's 1533-position model. The record is from RNAcentral.